UCCGUAGGUGAACCUGCGGAAGGAUCAUUACAGAAUGAAAGUGCUUAACUGCAUUUUUUUUACACAUGUGUUUUUCUUUUUUUUUGAAAACUUUGCUUUGGUGGGCCCAUGGCCUGCCAGAGAUUAAACUCAACCAAAUUUUUAUUUAAGUCAACUGAUUAACUAAUAGUCAAAACUUUCAACAACGGAUCUCUUGGUUCUCGCAUCGAUGAAGAACGCAGCGAAAUGCGAUAAGUAAUAUGAAUUGCAGAUAUUCGUGAAUCAUCGAAUCUUUGAACGCACAUUGCGCCCUUUGGUAUUCCAAAGGGCAUGCCUGUUUGAGCGUCAUUUCUCCCUCAAACCUUCGGGUUUGGUGUUGAGCGAUACGCUGGGUUUGCUUGAAAGAAAGGCGGAGUAUAAACUAAUGGAUAGGUUUUUUUUCCACUCAUUGGUACAAACUCCAAAAUUCUUCCAAAUUCGACCUCAAAUCAGGUAGGACUACCCGCUGAACUUAAGCAUAUCAAUAAGCGGAGGAAAAGA
RNAcentral lists this small RNA (519 nucleotides) under Lodderomyces orthopsilosis. Its description in RNAcentral is "eukaryotic LSU rRNA". The stretch from base 174 to 327 matches the Rfam family "5.8S ribosomal RNA". Lineage: Eukaryota; Fungi; Ascomycota; Pichiomycetes; Serinales; Debaryomycetaceae. The record is from RNAcentral.